Molecule: long non-coding RNA, 348 nt
Filed under: Elaeis guineensis (African oil palm)
Lineage: Eukaryota; Viridiplantae; Streptophyta; Magnoliopsida; Arecales; Arecaceae
Description: long non-coding RNA (EGUI_LNC075228)
Source: RNAcentral
UCGGCCAAGGACCCUGCCGCAACCUGAACCGCCAAGGAGGGAGGAGUAGCCCGGAGAUCGGCCUCCAAUUGGGACCAUCGACUCCAUCGCUGGAGGGCCUCAAGGAGGAGCAGACCUUCCACGACCAUGGAACUCGAAAAACCUGUAAAGGUAUCGCUUACGACUUUGCCCUGAAUAUAAAUUUCUUUCGACUUUGCAUGCUCCUCCCAUUUGGCAUGGAUUUGUUACGACUAGGGAUAACCCUUUCAAACAAUUAAAAUAAGCUUAUGUUACGAACGGGAGGAGAACCUCAUCCUAACAUAACUAAAAUAAAAGUCCGAUUAUUUGGAGAUCGGAUUGUGGGAGAGG